RNAcentral lists this ribosomal RNA (834 nucleotides) under uncultured bacterium. RNAcentral describes it as "bacterial SSU rRNA". It matches the Rfam family "Bacterial small subunit ribosomal RNA", at positions 40 to 879 of the family's 1533-position model. The record is from RNAcentral.
CGGCAGGCUUAACACAUGCAAGUCGAGGGGUAUGGUUCUUCGGAACCAGAGACCGGCGCACGGGUGCGUAACGCGUAUGCAAUCUGCCUUUCACAGAGGGAUAGCCCAGAGAAAUUUGGAUUAAUACCUCAUAGUAUAGCGACAUCGCAUGAUGAUGCUAUUAAAGUCACAACGGUGAAAAAUGAGCAUGCGUCCCAUUAGCUAGUUGGUAAGGUAACGGCUUACCAAGGCAACGAUGGGUAGGGGUCCUGAGAGGGAGAUCCCCCACACUGGUACUGAGACACGGACCAGACUCCUACGGGAGGCAGCAGUGAGGAAUAUUGGUCAAUGGGCGCAAGCCUGAACCAGCCAUGCCGCGUGCAGGAUGACGGUCCUAUGGAUUGUAAACUGCUUUUGCACAGGAAGAAACACUGAUUCGUGAAUCAGCUUGACGGUACUGUGAGAAUAAGGAUCGGCUAACUCCGUGCCAGCAGCCGCGGUAAUACGGAGGAUCCAAGCGUUAUCCGGAAUCAUUGGGUUUAAAGGGUCCGUAGGCGGUCUGGUAAGUCAGUGGUGAAAGCCCAUCGCUCAACGGUGGAACGGCCAUUGAUACUGCUGGACUUGAAUUAUUAGGAAGUGACUAGAAUAUGUAGUGUAGCGGUGAAAUGCUUAGAGAUUACAUGGAAUACCAAUUGCGAAGGCAGGUUACUACUAAUGGAUUGACGCUGAUGGACGAAAGCGUGGGUAGCGAACAGGAUUAGAUACCCUGGUAGUCCACGCCGUAAACGAUGGAUACUAGCUGUUGGAAGCAAUUUCAGUGGCUAAGCGAAAGUGAUAAGUAUCCCACCCUGGGGA